GGGGAUGUUGCUCAGUAGUAGACCACUUGCUUAGUAUGCAAGAAGCCCUGUGUUCACAUCCCAGCACCCCA
RNAcentral lists this transfer RNA (71 nucleotides) under Ictidomys tridecemlineatus (thirteen-lined ground squirrel). RNAcentral describes it as "Spermophilus tridecemlineatus (thirteen-lined ground squirrel) tRNA". It matches the Rfam family "tRNA". From Rfam's summary of the family: Transfer RNA (tRNA) molecules are approximately 80 nucleotides in length. The record is from Rfam by way of RNAcentral. Lineage: Eukaryota; Metazoa; Chordata; Mammalia; Rodentia; Sciuridae. RNAcentral also lists the same sequence under 1 other name.